This 29-nucleotide non-coding RNA is filed under the name Mus musculus (house mouse). Lineage: Eukaryota; Metazoa; Chordata; Mammalia; Rodentia; Muridae. The record is from RNAcentral.
UGAUAGGUUAGCUUUCCUUCCGUGAAUGC